GCUUGGAUGGCUCAGCUGGUUAGAGCGCCGGUCUCAUACGUCACGUGUGAGUAAGCAUUGUGCUUACGCAAUCCGGAGAUCACGAGUUCGAUCCUCGUUCCGAGCA
Molecule: non-coding RNA, 106 nt
Organism: Cytidiella melzeri
Lineage: Eukaryota; Fungi; Basidiomycota; Agaricomycetes; Polyporales; Irpicaceae
Source: the annotation of a GenBank genome assembly